Molecule: ribosomal RNA, 367 nt
Filed under: uncultured bacterium
Lineage: Bacteria
Description: bacterial SSU rRNA
Rfam family: Bacterial small subunit ribosomal RNA
Source: RNAcentral
AACGAACGCUGGCGGCAGGCUUAACACGUGCAAGUCGAACGGGCGUAGCAAUACGUCAGUGGCAGACGGGUGAGUAACACGUGGGAACCUUCCUAGGGGUACGGAACAACUCAGGGAAACUUGAGCUAAUACCGUAUACGUCCGUGAGGAGAAAGAUUUCAUCGCCCCUAGACGGGCCCGCGUCGGAUUAGGUAGUUGGUGGGGUAACGGCCUACCAAGCCUACGAUCCGUAGCUGAUCUGAGAGGAUGAUCAGCCACACUGGGACUGAGACACGGCCCAGACUCCGUACGGGAGGCAGCAGUGGGGAAUCUUGGACAAUGGGCGCAAGCCUGAUCCAGCCAUGCCGCGUGAGUGAUGAAGGCCUUA